GUUUCAGCCGCCGCGGUAAAACGUAGGAGCCAAGCGUUAUCCGAAUUCACUGGGCGUAAAGCGCGUGCAGGCGGCCUGAUAAGUUGGAUGUGAAAUCUCCUGGCUCAACUGGGAGAGGCCGUUCAAGACUGUCAGGCUGGAGGGCGACAGAGGGAGGUGGAAUUCCGGGUGUAGUGGUGAAAUGCGUAGAUAUCCGGAGGAACACCAGAGGCGAAGGCGACCUCCUGGGUCGUACCUGACGCUGAGAUGCGAAAGCUAGGGGAGCGAACGGGAUUAGAUACCCUUGUAGUCC
Molecule: ribosomal RNA, 292 nt
Filed under: uncultured bacterium
Lineage: Bacteria
Description: partial 16S ribosomal RNA
Rfam family: Bacterial small subunit ribosomal RNA
Source: RNAcentral